GAGUGUAGCUCAAUUGGAUAGAGCACCGGUCUACGAAACCGGCGGUUGAAGGUUCGAGUCCUUCCACUC
RNAcentral lists this transfer RNA (69 nucleotides) under marine eukaryotic metagenome. It matches the Rfam family "tRNA". From Rfam's summary of the family: Transfer RNA (tRNA) molecules are approximately 80 nucleotides in length. Their secondary structure includes four short double-helical elements and three loops (D, anti-codon, and T loops). Further hydrogen bonds mediate the characteristic L-shaped molecular structure. tRNAs have two regions of fundamental functional importance: the anti-codon, which is responsible for specific mRNA codon recognition, and the 3' end, to which the tRNAs corresponding amino acid is attached (by aminoacyl-tRNA synthetases). tRNAs cope with the degeneracy of the genetic code in two manners: having more than one tRNA (with a specific anti-codon) for a particular amino acid; and 'wobble' base-pairing, i.e. permitting non-standard base-pairing at the 3rd anti-codon position. The record is from RNAcentral.